Long non-coding RNA from Oncorhynchus tshawytscha (Chinook salmon), 2979 nucleotides. The record is from Ensembl. NCBI's taxonomy places the organism in Eukaryota, Metazoa, Chordata, Actinopteri, Salmoniformes, Salmonidae.
GUUUACUAACUCUGACCCUAGAGAACUGACCUAGGAUCAGUCAACCUGACAGGACUGUAGUGUUUACUAUCUCUGACCCUAGAGAACUGACCUAGGAUCAGUCAACCUGACAGGACUGUAGUGCUUACUAUCUCUGACCCUAGAGAACUGACCUAGGAUCAGUCAACCUGACAGGACUGUAGUGCUUACUAUCUCUGACCCUAGAGAACUGAGAAUGUUAUCUUUUUUUUUUUUAAAGACUGUUUUAAACAACCAGGAAACCAGCAGUUAUUUCUGGUUGUUUAUCAGAGUUAUCUGGCUUAGCUCAUUGAUCCUGCUUUUUUAUUGUAACCCUCAGGAGGUGUGGACUGGAGAAGUGUUGUGUUAAGAGAUGUGUGGUUUGAAAGACAUUUGACAGAUUGUGGUCCGGUCCUCCUCCUUCCUCCUACCUGUCUUGUCUCUCGUCGUUCAUCUUGGCCACUGUGACGGGUGUGAACAAACACAGCACCAGCCUUCACAUCCUCUUCAUCAUCAUCAUUAAGACAUCCCCCCAGCACCAGCCUUCAUCAUCCUCUUCAUCAUCAUCAUUAAGACAUCCCCCAGCACCAGCCUUCACAUCCUCUUCAUCAUCAUCAUUAAGACAUCCCCCAGCACCAGCCUUCACAUCCCCCAGCACCAGCCUCAUCAUCAUCAUCAUCAUCAUCAUGAAGACAUCCCCCCAGCACCAGCCUUCACAUCCUCUUCAUCAUCAUCAUUAAGACAUCCCCCCAGCCUUCACAUCCUCUUCAUCAUCAUCAUCAUCAUUAAGACAUCCCCCAGCACCAGCCUUCACAUCCUCUUCAUCAUAACCAUUCAGACAUCCCCCCAGCACCAGUCUUCACAUCCUCUUCAUCAUCAUCAUUAAGACAUCCCCCCACCCAGACUUCACAUCCUCUUCAUCAUCAUCAUUAAGACACCCCCAGCACCAGCCUUCACAUCCUCUUCAUCAUCAUCAUCAUCAUCAAGACAUCCCCCCAGCACCAGCCUUCACAUCCUCUUCAUCAUCAUCAUUAAGACAUCCCCCACCCAGCACCAGCCUUCACAUCCUCUUCAUCAUCAUCAUUAUGACAUCCCCCAGCACCAGCUUUCACAUCCUCUUCAUCAUCAUCAUUAAGACACCCCCCCAGCACCAGCCUUCACAUCAUCAUCAUCAUUAAGACAUCCCCCCCAGCACCAGCCUUCACAUCCUCUUCAUCAUCAUGACGUGAUAUAAGGAGCUAUGACGUGUUAUAAGGAGAAGCUAUGAUGUGUUAUAAGGAGAAGCUAUGAUGUGUUAUAAGGACAAGCUAUGAUGUGUUAUAAGGAGGAGCUAUGAUGUGUUAUAAGGAGAAGCUAUGAUGUGUUAUAAGGAGAAGCUAUGAUGUGUUAUAAGGAGAAGCUAUGACGUGUUAUAAGCUAUGACGUGUUAUAAGGAGAAGCUAUGAUGUGUUAUUAGGAGCUAUGACGUGUUAUAAGGAGAAGCUAUGAUGUGUUAUUAGGAGGAGCUAUGAUGUGUUAUAAGGAGAAGCUAUGAUGUGUUAUAAGGAGAAGCUAUGAUGUGUUAUAAGGAGAAGCUAUGAUGUGUUAUAAUGAGAAGCUAUGACGUGUUAUAAGGAGAAGCUAUGAUGUGUUAUUAGGAGCUAUGGCGUGUUAUAAGGAGCUAUGAUGUGUUAUAAUGAGAAGCUAUGACGUGUUAUAAGGAGAAGCUAUGAUGUGUUAUAAGGAGCUAUGAUGUGUUAUAAUGAGAAGCUAUGACGUGUUAUAAGGAGCUAUGAUGUGUUAUAAGGAGCUAUGACGUGUUAUAAGAAGCUAUGACGUGUUAAGCUAUGAUAGGUUAUAACACAUGACGUGUUUUAAGAAGCUACGAUGUGUUAUAAGGAGCUAUGAUGUGUUAUAACCUGUGUUAUAAGAAGCUAUGAUGUGUUAUAAGGAGCUAUGAUGUGUUAUAAGAAGCUAUGAUGUGUUAUAAGAAGCUAUGAUGUGUUAUAACGUGUUAUAAGAAGCUGUGGUGUGUUAUAACGUGUUAUAAGGAGCUAUGACGUGUUAUAAGGAGCUAUGAUGUGUUAUAAGAAGCUAUGACGUGUUAUAACGUGUUAUAAGAAGCUAUGACGUGUUAUAAGGAGCUAUGACGUGUUAUAAGAAGCUAUGACGUGUUAUAAGGAGCUAUGACGUGUUAAGCUAUGAUAGGUUAUAACACAUGACGUGUUUUAAGAAGCUACGAUGUGUUAUAAGGAGCUAUGAUGUGUUAUAAGAAGCUAUGAUGUGUUAUAAGAAGCUAUGAUGUGUUAUAACGUGUUAUAAGAAGCUAUGAUGCGUUAUAACGUGUUAUAAGGAGCUAUGACGUGUUAUAAGGAGCUAUGACGUGUUAUAAGGAGCUAUGAUGUGUUAUAAGAAGCUAUGAUGUGUUAUAACGUGUUAUAAGAAGCUAUGAGGUGUUAUAACGUGUUUUAAGGAGCUACGACGUGUUAUAAGAAGCUAUGAUGUGUUAUAACGUGUUUUAAGGAGCUAUGAUGUGUUAUAACGUGUUUUAAGGAGCUAUGAUGUGUUAUAACAUGUUAUAAGAAGCUAUGAUGUGUUAUAAGGAGCUAUGAUGUGUUAUAACAUGUUAUAAGGAGCUAUGAUGUGUUAUAACGUGUUAUAAGGAGCUAUGACGUGUUAUAAGGAGCUAUGAUGUGUUAUAACGUGUUAUAAGGAGCUAUGACGUGUUAUAACGUGUUAUAAGGAGCUAUGACGUGUUAUAACGUGUUAUAAGGAACUAUGACGUGUUAUAACGUGUUAUAAGGAGCUAUGACGUGUUAUAACGUGUUAUAAGGAGCUAUGACGUGUUAUAACGUGUUAUAAGGAGCUAUGACGUGUUAUAACGUGUUAUAAGGAGCUAUGACGUGUUUUAAGGAGCUACGACGUGUUAUAAGAAGCUAUAAGCGUUCAUACACUGGUUCAUAUUCCAAUGCAUAUUUAAUAAACCAUCGAUGAGUGGAUGAA